CAGCGCCGCGGUAAUACGAAGGGGGCUAGCGUUGCUCGGAAUUACUGGGCGUAAAGGGCGCGUAGGCGGAUAGUUAAGUCAGAGGUGAAAGCCCAGGGCUCAACCUUGGAACUGCCUUUGAUACUGGCUAUCUUGAGUUCGGGAGAGGUGUGUGGAACUCCGAGUGUAGAGGUGAAAUUCGUAGAUAUUCGGAAGAACACCAGUGGCGAAGGCGACACACUGGCCCGAUACUGACGCUGAGGCGCGAAAGCGUGGGGAGCAAACAGGAUUAGAUCCCCCGUAGUCCCUGUCUCUUAUACAC
This 301-nucleotide ribosomal RNA is filed under the name uncultured bacterium. RNAcentral describes it as "partial 16S ribosomal RNA". It matches the Rfam family "Bacterial small subunit ribosomal RNA", at positions 509 to 809 of the family's 1533-position model. The record is from RNAcentral.